Molecule: ribosomal RNA, 2931 nt
Filed under: Enterobacter asburiae
Lineage: Bacteria; Pseudomonadati; Pseudomonadota; Gammaproteobacteria; Enterobacterales; Enterobacteriaceae
Description: 23S ribosomal RNA
Rfam family: Bacterial large subunit ribosomal RNA
Source: RNAcentral
GGGUUGUGAGGUUAAGCGACUAAGCGUACACGGUGGAUGCCCUGGCAGUCAGAGGCGAUGAAGGACGUGCUAAUCUGCGAAAAGCGCCGGCGAGGUGAUAUGAACCUUUGACCCGGCGAUGUCCGAAUGGGGAAACCCAGUGCAAUUCGUUGCACUAUCGUUAACUGAAUACAUAGGUUAACGAGGCGAACCGGGGGAACUGAAACAUCUAAGUACCCCGAGGAAAAGAAAUCAACCGAGAUUCCCCCAGUAGCGGCGAGCGAACGGGGAGCAGCCCAGAGUCUGAAUCAGCUUGUGUGUUAGUGGAACGGUCUGGAAAGUCCGGCGAUACAGGGUGACAGCCCCGUACACGAAAGCACACAGGCUGUGAACUCGAAGAGUAGGGCGGGACACGUGGUAUCCUGUCUGAAUAUGGGGGGACCAUCCUCCAAGGCUAAAUACUCCUGACUGACCGAUAGUGAACCAGUACCGUGAGGGAAAGGCGAAAAGAACCCCGGCGAGGGGAGUGAAAAAGAACCUGAAACCGUGUACGUACAAGCAGUGGGAGCACCUUCGUGGUGUGACUGCGUACCUUUUGUAUAAUGGGUCAGCGACUUAUAUUCUGUAGCAAGGUUAACCGUAUAGGGGAGCCGAAGGGAAACCGAGUCUUAACUGGGCGUUAAGUUGCAGGGUAUAGACCCGAAACCCGGUGAUCUAGCCAUGGGCAGGUUGAAGGUUGGGUAACACUAACUGGAGGACCGAACCGACUAAUGUUGAAAAAUUAGCGGAUGACUUGUGGCUGGGGGUGAAAGGCCAAUCAAACCGGGAGAUAGCUGGUUCUCCCCGAAAGCUAUUUAGGUAGCGCCUCGUGAACUCAUCUUCGGGGGUAGAGCACUGUUUCGGCUAGGGGGCCAUCCCGGCUUACCAACCCGAUGCAAACUACGAAUACCGAAGAAUGUUAUCACGGGAGACACACGGCGGGUGCUAACGUCCGUCGUGAAGAGGGAAACAACCCAGACCGCCAGCUAAGGUCCCAAAGUCAUGGUUAAGUGGGAAACGAUGUGGGAAGGCACAGACAGCCAGGAUGUUGGCUUAGAAGCAGCCAUCAUUUAAAGAAAGCGUAAUAGCUCACUGGUCGAGUCGGCCUGCGCGGAAGAUGUAACGGGGCUAAACCAUGCACCGAAGCUGCGGCAGCGACGCUUAUGCGUUGUUGGGUAGGGGAGCGUUCUGUAAGCCGUUGAAGGUGUGCUGUGAGGCAUGCUGGAGGUAUCAGAAGUGCGAAUGCUGACAUAAGUAACGAUAAAGCGGGUGAAAAGCCCGCUCGCCGGAAGACCAAGGGUUCCUGUCCAACGUUAAUCGGGGCAGGGUGAGUCGACCCCUAAGGCGAGGCCGAAAGGCGUAGUCGAUGGGAAACAGGUUAAUAUUCCUGUACUUGGUGUUACUGCGAAGGGGGGACGGAGAAGGCUAUGUUAGCCGGGCGACGGUUGUCCCGGUUUAAGCAUGUAGGCGGAGGUUCCAGGUAAAUCCGGUACCUUUUAACGCUGAGGUGUGAUGACGAGGCACUACGGUGCUGAAGUAACAAAUGCCCUGCUUCCAGGAAAAGCCUCUAAGCAUCAGGUAACACGAAAUCGUACCCCAAACCGACACAGGUGGUCAGGUAGAGAAUACCAAGGCGCUUGAGAGAACUCGGGUGAAGGAACUAGGCAAAAUGGUGCCGUAACUUCGGGAGAAGGCACGCUGAUAUGUAGGUGAAGCCCCUGCGGGUGGAGCUGAAAUCAGUCGAAGAUACCAGCUGGCUGCAACUGUUUAUUAAAAACACAGCACUGUGCAAACACGAAAGUGGACGUAUACGGUGUGACGCCUGCCCGGUGCCGGAAGGUUAAUUGAUGGGGUUAGCGGCAACGCGAAGCUCUUGAUCGAAGCCCCGGUAAACGGCGGCCGUAACUAUAACGGUCCUAAGGUAGCGAAAUUCCUUGUCGGGUAAGUUCCGACCUGCACGAAUGGCGUAAUGAUGGCCAGGCUGUCUCCACCCGAGACUCAGUGAAAUUGAACUCGCUGUGAAGAUGCAGUGUACCCGCGGCAAGACGGAAAGACCCCGUGAACCUUUACUAUAGCUUGACACUGAACACUGGUCCUUGAUGUGUAGGAUAGGUGGGAGGCUUUGAAGCGUGGACGCCAGUCUGCGUGGAGCCAACCUUGAAAUACCACCCUUUAAUGGCUGGUGUUCUAACGUAGACCCGUAAUCCGGGUUGCGGACAGUGUCUGGUGGGUAGUUUGACUGGGGCGGUCUCCUCCCAAAGAGUAACGGAGGAGCACGAAGGUUAGCUAAUCCUGGUCGGACAUCAGGAGGUUAGUGCAAUGGCAUAAGCUAGCUUGACUGCGAGAGUGACGGCUCGAGCAGGUGCGAAAGCAGGUCAUAGUGAUCCGGUGGUUCUGAAUGGAAGGGCCAUCGCUCAACGGAUAAAAGGUACUCCGGGGAUAACAGGCUGAUACCGCCCAAGAGUUCAUAUCGACGGCGGUGUUUGGCACCUCGAUGUCGGCUCAUCACAUCCUGGGGCUGAAGUAGGUCCCAAGGGUAUGGCUGUUCGCCAUUUAAAGUGGUACGCGAGCUGGGUUUAGAACGUCGUGAGACAGUUCGGUCCCUAUCUGCCGUGGGCGCUGGAGAAUUGAGGGGGGCUGCUCCUAGUACGAGAGGACCGGAGUGGACGCAUCACUGGUGUUCGGGUUGUCAUGCCAAUGGCACUGCCCGGUAGCUAAAUGCGGAAAAGAUAAGUGCUGAAAGCAUCUAAGCACGAAACUUGCCCCGAGAUGAGUUCUCCCUGACCCUUUAAGGGUCCUGAAGGAACGUUGAAGACGACGACGUUGAUAGGUCGGGUGUGUAAGCGCAGCGAUGCGUUGAGCUAACCGAUACUAAUGAACCGUGAGGCUUAACCUUACAACGCCGAAGCUGUU